GGUUAAGCCCCUGGCAGCUUUAGCUAUGCUUGAUGAGGGGGAGCUGGAUUGGAAAAUUGUUGCCAUUUCAUUAGAUGAUCCCAAGGCAGCACUUGUAAAUGAUGUGAACGAUGUCGAAAAACAUUUUCCGGGCACCCUUACUGCAAUAAGGGAUUGGUUUAGAGAUUACAAGAUCCCAGAUGGAAAGCCCGCUAAUAAAUUUGGUCUUGGUAAUAAGCCAGCAAACAAGGAUUAUGCUCUAAAGGUCAUCGCAGAGACGAACGAGGCUUGGGCUAAGUUAGUGAAGAGAUCUGUUGAGGCUGGAGAGCUAUCUUUGGUUUGACUGCGACCUGUCCAGUUCAAUUGACAGGCACAUUGAAAUCUCUAUGGUAAUUUGCAAGCAUUGAAUAUGAAUGUACAUUUCAU
This 405-nucleotide unclassified non-coding RNA is filed under the name Hevea brasiliensis (rubber tree). The record is from RNAcentral. Lineage: Eukaryota; Viridiplantae; Streptophyta; Magnoliopsida; Malpighiales; Euphorbiaceae.